Molecule: long non-coding RNA, 4729 nt
Organism: Cavia porcellus (domestic guinea pig)
Lineage: Eukaryota; Metazoa; Chordata; Mammalia; Rodentia; Caviidae
Exons: 3
Source: RefSeq, a predicted model, not a curated record
UGACGGAGUGCUGGCACACGCAGAGGAGCAGCAGCAGCAGAACCAUGGCAGAGGUCAGCACCAGGAGGACGCUGAAGGACUGCGGAGAGGGCCCUGCACAGACGCGAGGAGAGAUCGGCCGGGAGGUGUUUACAGGCACCCCGAUGAGCUCACUCCGUGGAGCUUCUGUGCUCGGACACCGGAGUCUCCCCAAGCUAACAGCCUGGCGACCCCCGGCUUCACGGUCCUGCAGUAAGUGAAACCGACCGCCUCGGGGUCACUGGCCCCCUUGGUGCUUGUCACUGCAGCUGUGCGUGGUAACAUCACCAGAGUAAGCGGGAGGGAGGGAGUGCCCCCAGCAGCUUCCUCUGCAGUGCCCUCUGUCCUCCCAGGUCACCUGGCGGAGGACGCGGGGCCCUCCCACAGGCCGCCGGUUCCUGUGUCUGCUCUCAGCCUCGGCAGAGGCGCUGUGAUUCCCCACUGUCCCUUCCUUCAUCACACUGGCAUUUGUGGGUCCAGGAGGCCCUUGUGAGUCACGGGCUGCGUAACAGCUGCAUGCAGAUUUCGUAAUGCUGCUGUGUUAAACAACUCCCACUACUCAUGUCCUUAGGGAAAGAAAAAAAAAUAUAUAUAUAUAUAUAUAUAGUGCACCGCAGAAGAACUGCAGUACCAGCCGGGCGUGGUGGUUCAUGCCUGUAACCAUAGCAUCCGGGAGGCUGAGGCAGGAGGAUCAAAAGUUUGAGCCUAGCCUGGGCAAACUGACUUAGGGAGAUCCUACCCCAAAAUAAAAAAUUAUGAAGGGCCGGGGAUGUAGCUCAUUGCUGAAGGCCUGGCUUCAAUGUCCAGUACUGCAAAAACAAACCAAAACAAAGCAGAACCCAACCAAACAAGAAACCAAGAAAGAGCAGCAGAAAAAACUGGUGCUUUACUAGCCCGGGGCAGGGGCAGUUUCAACGGUCAAGAUGCGGAGUUUGUAAGCACCAAGUCCGAAGGGUGAGGGUGAUUAUUAUGUGCCACAAACACGUUAAUAAAACAGGAUCACACGGAACGACACCAAACCCCUAGAACUGCAAGUAAUUUUAAUUUUUAUAAAAGUAAUACAAUUUAGGUAAAUUUCAGAAAAAUUUAAAAUUUUACAUUAGUUAGAAUUUACAUUUUCGAUAGAUACUUUGGAAAACUUUAUGUACUAUACACAUGUGCCCAUGAAAGAAUCUAAAAAAUCUGUAAGAAAAGAAUAACUUUAAAAACACACAUGAAAAAUGAUUUUAAUUUGGAAAGUCUGCAUUCUUAAAGUCAAUUUUAUAUUAAAUACAGUGCCUACAAAUUCUGUAUCUGCAGGGUCUGGUUACAAUCAUCACUGACCUCUUUAGGUCGUGGCUCUCACCAACACACUCUUCACGUGAAAUUCUCCACUUUAAGGAAACAGAAACGAGAAAGAUGACACUGUAGGAAGCCAAACCCAGAACCAGGAGGUGUGGUCCCUGUAACCACUGGCCGGGGUUGGAGCCAGCCCCGCAGACUUGGGGUCAGUUUGCCAAAUCCAGCCACCUGUGUCCACUUGGCAGCUGCUACUGGUUUUUAUGUCGUUCCGUGUCCCAGCCCAGAUCCGGCACUUCCUGCUCCUGGGCCGGUGUUGAGAGGUGCGGACAGACACUUGCUGCCGAUUCAGCCAAUACCCACCUUGUCUUCUUUCACGGGGCCUGGUACAAGGGGACACUCGUUAAGUUCUACCCCUGAGCUGCGUCCCCAGCCGGAUACAAGUGUCCUUGGAGUGGCCGCCUGCAUGUGCCAGCGCCAGCUCUGCAGCAGGGCUCCCUCCUCUGGACCCAGCGCUCGCUUCCCUCCAGCUCUUUCUUUUCUUUCUUUCUUUCCUUCCUCUCUAUUUUUUGAGACGGGGUCUCACUACGCAGUUCAAGCUGGCUUUGAACUCACCUUGUAGCCCAGGUUGGCCUCAAACUCGAGGUUAUCUUCCUGCCUCAGCCCCCCAAGUGCUAGGAUAACAGGUGUGUGGUACCGCGCCUGGCUUACCUACCAAAUAUUUUAAAAACCACCUGUGAGGUGGCCUGAUGCGGGCUUUCACCCUAACUUCAAGCAGGUCGUGAGUAUACAUGGUACCCGAGCAGAGCUCUGAGAGCUGUGAUGUGCCAGGAAGACACCGGUACCUGCUGGCGUGAAGUCUGGGCUCCGGGUCUUCAGCUAUGCUUUGGAAUUUCUAUGCUCAAAGUUGAACAAGACCCUCCAUUUCUGUUAAAGGAAGGUGGCGGCUCUGAGAUCCCUGCGGUCCUGUGGUCUCCUUUCCUCUGCCUUCGUCCCUUCCUGAGCUUACACAGACUGCAACUACUGUGUUGAUAAACGUUUUCUAAUACUGAAUAAUACCUCGUGCUGCCGAGUUGCUUUCUGUACUGUAGAGACUGCAAAUACGUGAAUUACCCUUUUCUUUAGCAUCUGUCUUGGUCACUUUUCUCUCAUUGCUGGGACCAAAUACCCAGCACCCCAAAUGAAGGGAGGAAAGGUUUAUUUAGCUCACUGCUUGUGGAGGUUUCAGUCCAUACUCAUCUGGCUCCAAGGCAGGGUGGCAGGGCACAGGGGCAACGCUUCAGGGCAGCAGCCAGCGCAAAAGGACAGAGAACAAACCUCUUCUCCUCCCACCCCUCAGAGCUGGUGUAGCACUCUCAAAAUCUCUGUGCAUAGGUGAGGAUAUUUAUAAAUGAGGACCUGGCUCCCUGCUGAGCCUCUCAGUGAAACUUCUGAACUUCUCAAGCUGACGCAGCAUAUCUCCAGAACAGCCUCUUGCCAGUGACCAGGUGAGAACUACUAUGAUCACCCUAACGCUGGAGAAAGAGAAGCUGCAGGAGCCCAAGUGGCUGAGCCCGGGUUAGCGACAGCCGCUCCUACAACCUGGUGAUCCCGCUCUGUUUUCACGACCUGAUUCACUGUUCCUCACGCUCCGCGGAGCACCCAGUCUCCGCUGUACCCCAGUGACCACGCCAUUGCACAGUUCAGGACGGGAGAAGCCUGGCACAGAACCCAGGACUUCCGCUUUGAAAGAGACCUCUGAGUCAGGCACACGCGGUGGCGAUCUGGGAGCCACUGGGAUCCGAUUCCUGUGAGUGCACGGGCCGGCGCUGACUCAGCACAGGACAGCGAGGCUGUCGUUGGGCGGUUUGCGAGCCCAGUCAGAAACCACAACAGACUCAUCUAUGUAAAUGAUACCAAGAAACAGGUGGACACCUUAAACUCUGAGAAAUGUGACGGAAACAGAAUCAAGAGUCCCGCAGUUGGCACCUUGUGGAACAAUCUAGAAUAACCCUCAGAGGGCAUUUUUCACUGGGGGUAUAGCCCAGUGGUACAGCAGUGCCUAUGCACAGGUCUGGCGUCCAACCCGCAGCACAAAUGUAGAAAUUGUAAAGAGCAUGCAACCAAACCUGUUAAGUAAACAAGCGUUCUGUAUCUCAAAUUCAGACAGAGAUGUCUACCAAGUACCACUGAGGGGGAGACAGUCUUUGGGCUGCCAGUGACAAUUGUCACUCUCAGAGCAAAAGGACCCCCAAAACAACAUCCAGGAGCAAUGUGACUCUGCUGAAGGCCAGCUUCUGCCUGCGGGGCCGCUUGGGAGGGUGGACAGUAUUGCUGGCACCCACCGGGCCUAAUGAAUACCCCAGUUCAUCUUCAUAAACUCAACCACUGCCAAACCUCACUGAAGUAUUCUUCCUCCGAGUCAAAAAACAAGGUAUCAGGGGCCAGGGACUUGGCUCAGCGGCAUAAGCGCCUGCCUGGCAAGUGCAAGGCCGAGUUCGAUCCCUGGUACCAACCCCCCCCCCCAAAAAAAAAAAACAAAAACAAAAAAACAAAGCCAAGGUAUCAGACGCCAGAGUUUAUUUCCUCUGAAUGUUUUGCUUCUGUGUACUGGGAUUGAACCCGGGCCUUGCACAUGCCAAGCCAAGUGCUCCAUGCUUCCCUCUUGCUUUUUGAAUUUUAUUUUGAGACACAGUCUUGCUAAGUUGCCCAGGCUGGCCUUGAACUUGGGAUUCACCUUCUUCAGGCUCUGCCUGAACUUCUGAAUGCUGGUACAUUCUCUACAAAACAAUCCUGCUCGCAAGGCUUUCGGCUUCGGCUCCACACCUGUUUCUGAGUUUCCACUGCGAUUACACAGGCCAUUAGUUUUCACUGAGUCAUUUUUUUAGUUAACUAUCACACUACAUCAGAGCUCCAAUUACCUACUUGCAAGACAUAAAUACCGUGUGUGUCCGAAUGCAUCUGUGUAUGGGUGUAUAUUCUACAGGCUCUGUCCCUUUCAAUCUCAAGCAAUUUGCAAGUUUCAUGUCACUAUCAUUAAGUUAUUUUAGGGCUCGGGAGGGUAGCUCUGGGGCAGAAUGGGCAUCCAGCACAUCGGAGACUCAGCACUGAAAUACAUACAUAAUAAAAAAUGAAUCAUUCUCUAUCCUUUACCAACUCAAUGAAUCCCAGGCCACGGUGUCUACUGCAGUGCCCUUCGGGCCUGUGCCCCUGUCAGUCCCCUCUACUGGGACUUCUUUGGUGUUACUAUGCCUCACACUCCGGUUGCAGGACCUUUCCUUUGCUGUCUGGUUUAAAAUGCUCAUUUUCUCUCUCUGCAUGACUUGUCCUCUCAUCUUUAGAUUUCUUCGGAAAAGUCUCUGCCCACGCCCUCGAAGCGCAUGUGCAGAGCUAUCCUCUCCUUUUCUCUCCUUCACAGAACACGUGACAGUCUGGCACGGUCACGUGCUGCACA